Molecule: ribosomal RNA, 811 nt
Filed under: uncultured bacterium
Lineage: Bacteria
Description: bacterial SSU rRNA
Rfam family: Bacterial small subunit ribosomal RNA
Source: RNAcentral
AGAGUUUGAUCCUGGCUCAGGACGAACGCUGGCGGCGUGCCUAAUACAUGCAAGUCGAGCGCAGGAAGUCAUCCGAACCCUUCGGGGGGACGUUGACGGAAUGAGCGGCGGACGGGUGAGUAACACGUAAAGAACCUGCCCUCAGGUCUGGGAUAACCACGAGAAAUCGGGGCUAAUACCGGAUGGGUCAUCGGACCGCAUGGUCCGAGGAUGAAAGGCGCUUCGGCGUCGCCUGGGGAUGGCUUUGCGGUGCAUUAGCUAGUUGGUGGGGUAACGGCCCACCAAGGCGACGAUGCAUAGCCGACCUGAGAGGGUGAUCGGCCACACUGGGACUGGGACACGGCCCAGACUCCUACGGGAGGCAGCAGUAGGGAAUCUUCCACAAUGGACGAAAGUCUGAUGGAGCAACGCCGCGUGAACGAUGAAGGCCCUCGGGUCGUAAAGUUCUGUUGUAAGGGAAGAACAAGUGCCGCAGGCAAUGGCGGCACCUUGACGGUACCUUGCGAGAAAGCCACGGCUAACUACGUGCCAGCAGCCGCGGUAAUACGUAGGUGGCAAGCGUUAAUCGGAAUUACUGGGCGUAAAGCGCGCGUAGGUGGUUUGUUAAGUUGGAUGUGAAAUCCCCGGGCUCAACCUGGGAACUGCAUUCAAAACUGACUGACUAGAGUAUGGUAGAGGGUGGUGGAAUUUCCUGUGUAGCGGUGAAAUGCGUAGAUAUAGGAAGGACACCAGUGGCGAAAGCGACCACCUGGACUAUACUGACACUGAGGUGCGGAAGCGUGGGGAGCAACAGGAUUAGAUACCCUGGUAG